Molecule: long non-coding RNA, 611 nt
Organism: Oncorhynchus gorbuscha (pink salmon)
Lineage: Eukaryota; Metazoa; Chordata; Actinopteri; Salmoniformes; Salmonidae
Exons: 4
Source: RefSeq, a predicted model, not a curated record
AGUUUGAAGUUUUAGUGACAAGGAAUUGUCAGGAUGAAACAUGUCUGUCGAGGAGAAUGUCCCCCCUUUUUAGGAGGAUGACAGAGUAAAGUGUAUAAAAACAAACGUUUUUGUCGGAUUUUGGAAGUGAGGCAGGAAACCUGGGAGAAGAAGUGUGUUACAGUCGAGGAAUGCCAGACUGUUCUGAAAGGUUUCUUCGAAAAGCAAGGUAUUGUUUCUGACUCUACCAUCGACUGGUGCUCCCCGAGGCCUUACCUGCUUCUAAAGACAAAUAAUGUUAUGUUCUCAAGAAGAAAGCUGUGUCCAUAAUUGCUGAAAACUGCAGGAAACUUUUUGGCUUGGUCUCCCAGCCUCUUCUUCCACAGAUGUCAUUCACUGUUGAACAGUGCAGUGUGGAGGUCAGGACAAUGACCAAGUGGAGGGAGAUAAACAUGGACCAGAUGGGCGCAGAGCUCAGGAGGACAUCUGUGAACUGUACAAAGAGGCCUGUGUGAGGGACGUGUAUCGUGGGUUAGAUCUCUGUGUAGAACCUGUUGACAUCACUGUGGGCUGUCAGCGAGCUGCAGAACCAGGCCAUACGGCAACGCAACAGGGCUCAACACGCCAUCACC